Rhododendron vialii is the source of this 2392-nucleotide long non-coding RNA. RefSeq lists it as uncharacterized. NCBI's taxonomy places the organism in Eukaryota, Viridiplantae, Streptophyta, Magnoliopsida, Ericales, Ericaceae. The record is from RefSeq and is a predicted model, not a curated record. The transcript is spliced from 3 exons.
AACAAAAUUGAGUUUUAAUAGCAUAUUCUUACAGCGUUCUUUAAAAAAUGCUAUAAUAGACUUUCAUCUUUACAUCAAGAUAGCGUGCAAAACACUGUAGGGGAGCAGAAGACUUUCGACAGCGUUCCACUGUCUCAAUUAUAGCGUUCACCCAAUAAAAAAGGCGCCAUUCUCAAUUGGGGGAAAUUUUAAGACGGCAAAAAAAUUCCUGGGAAAUCCCUUCUCUCUCUACAAUUUCUACCUACUCGAUCUCCGCCGAUCUCUCUCUCUCUCUCUCUCUCUCUCUCUCUCUCUCUCUCACACGCACACAGAGAAACACACACGAAGAGACACGAAGAGAGGAGAGCAAAGGAAUGGCGUGAUUCAAAGCUAGUGCCUUCACCAAUCGAGCACCAGUAGUACCACCGCCGGGCCUCGAUCCAUUCAUCUCCAAGCUCUAUCGCUUGUCUGCCCUCAACCACAACUCGACAAAAUGCCCAAAGGGAGAAAAUUGUGGCUACAACCAGGUUUUCUAGCAAAUCAAGUCAUGCCAGAUUAUUAGAGAAAGAAAUGAGAGAAUAAAGAGGAACAAUGAGAUUGAAUUCUUUUGGGGUGAAGGGUAUCGCAAAUUCUUUGCGGUGUUCGAUUCAGCACGCUCAAAUGAGAAUGGAAAGUGUAGAGGGAGUUGGAUGAUGAUGACUAUAGACCUACAGAUGAGAAUGGAAAGUGUAGAGGGAGUUGGAUGAUUGUUGGAGUACCAUUGAGUCCAAGAUUUUACUCUGAAUGAUGAGGGAGUAAGAGGAAUAAUCAAGCACAAUACACUUAAGUCAAUCGGGGAAAAGUUGUGACAAUGGAGAUCUAGUCAUGUAGCUUAAAAACAAAAUAUUAUGAUGAGCAGCUGCACAAUUUAUUGCAACAGCACCUGCGACCAUUAAUUAGGAGUGAUAUGCUGAUCUUGUUAAUUAUUGGUAUUCAGAUGAUGGACAAGUAUGUAAAAUAUAAUAACUAUAUACUUGAGCUAGAAAGAAAAUUAUAUACUUUAGCUAGAAGAUAAGGUGCAGUCUCAACUCUCAAGAACAGUAGUUGAAUUCCACAGUUAGUGAACUGAACACUGUAAAAUCAUUUGUUGACUUCUUGAUUAGGCAAUGUGGUUUUCAGGCUAUGAUUAUAACUUUAUGCUUACUUGUGAUGUAAAGACAAGUUAAAUUUAUAUGUGCUUGCAUGGUUUAUGUUCUCAUAUCAAUUCUUCCCUCAAUUACUUUGGCUCAAGAUGUUGCUAGUGGCAUCCCAAAUCAAGUUUCUCCCCAGGCAAAUCAAGGAGCAUCUUUUGCAAGUCAUGAAAUAGAAGCUUUUUUAGGUAACAAUUUCUCUCUGUGUGUGUGUGUGUGUGUGUGUGUGUGGAUUGCAUAAAGAUUUCAGAUGUAAAAGAGAUUUGAUGUACUUGAAGGUUUAUUUAGUCAUGUACUUGAAGGUUUCAGCUGUUGGAUUGCAUAGAGAUUUAGCUGUUGGCGUUCUUGAUGAAAUGCCAUGUGUCCUUUAAAUGUUAGUGAGAAUGCCACGUAGCUGUAGUUUUUAAUUAUUCCUUAAUUUGCUUCUUGAGCCACUCUUCUUCAUUUAUUAUUCUAUUGCCAAUGUUAUUCCCCUCCUCCAGACAUCUAUGUAGCCUUUCUUCUAAGCUCACAUUCUUUCUCCAUGGAUAGUAAGUAUACAUUUAUGAGCUGGGGUACAGAGUUUAGCUGGCUGUAUAUAAAUGCUCACAUUCUUCCAGAUUGCCUGCCACUUUUUCUCCAUUUCUUGGCAGUUAUAUCCCAAUACGGUUCACUUUCUUCAUCAAAGGCUCAUUAUAUAUUAGGUGUCUGUGAAGAUGAUGUGGUUACUUCUUUUCUUUUGUUCUGCUCCCUCAAUGUUCUGGUAAUGUGCGCGUGUGUUGGAUAUUAAUUGCUUAGUUUGGUUGAUGGUUCUAAUGUAUUUGAUAGUGAACUGAAGUAAUUUGGUUGAUACUUGUAAGGACUUUUGGCAGUCAUAUCAUUGUAUCACUGGCAUAUGUGUCAACGACUAUUGAUUGGCGUAAGUUCAUAAUUAUAUAGCAAGCAUAAUGGCUUGCUACUGCGAUUCUUGUCUGCCCAGAUUGUUAGGUUAUUUGUAACUUGUUGAUGUACAUUGCCAUGUUUUGGAUUAUAAAGGUUCAUAGGCAAACAGAAGAAACUAACUAAGCCCGUGCCUUGCCUAGGAAAAAACCUUAUCGUACCUUUCAGCUUGUGCACUUGAAAAUCUAGGUUUUCUUUUUGAUUUGGUAUCGUCCGUUCCACAAUGAUAGGCAUUUUCUUCUUGAAAAUCUAGGUUUUCUUAGAGGAACUUUCAUUAUGAGGAAAUUUUAUUUUAGCUUCUAUGUUCCAAGUGUUAAACCAUCUAA